AGGGAAAAUAUCUGCCAAAUACCUGUCAGUUGUUUUUUCAUGUAAAAAAUGGUAUUCCAUGACAAAAGUGGCUACUUCAGCCUUCCACUCAGUCACACAAGUACUUUUCCUCUAGACAACCAUUGUACUUGGGUAUGCAGUGAAAUGCUUUAUGUGUACUUCUCAUUUUGUCACACAGAAUAUUAAAAUGAUGUAUAUUCAAGAAUCA
Molecule: long non-coding RNA, 208 nt
Filed under: Homo sapiens (human)
Lineage: Eukaryota; Metazoa; Chordata; Mammalia; Primates; Hominidae
Description: non-protein coding lnc-FAM172A-9:1
Source: RNAcentral